CGACGCCGCGCGGGAGAGUCCCCACGCCGGUCGUGGGGCGCCGAAGGGGCAAUCUCCCCGACAAGCUCUCAGGCGCCAGGACCGCGCGGACCAG
RNAcentral lists this non-coding RNA (94 nucleotides) under Ornithinimicrobium sp. CNJ-824. Its description in RNAcentral is "Glycine riboswitch aptamer". It matches the Rfam family "Glycine riboswitch aptamer". Rfam says of the family: This family represents the bacterial glycine riboswitch. Glycine riboswitches usually consist of two metabolite-binding aptamers domains with similar structures in tandem. RNAcentral also lists the same sequence under 1 other name. The record is from Rfam by way of RNAcentral. Lineage: Bacteria; Bacillati; Actinomycetota; Actinomycetes; Micrococcales; Ornithinimicrobiaceae.